GGAUCCGCUACCGAUUCGACGAAGUUUCUCGAGAUCUGAGAGUUGGGAGGUUGCAGGGAUGGACGGAGAGACGGAGGACGUGGAUGAGGAGGCAGAUGAGUUAGGUGGGAGUGGGAGAGGGACGGCAAGUGGUGGGUCAGAUCUGGGGAAUGGAUCAGGUUUGGGGAUUGGGAGUGUUAGGUUGGGACGACGACGGUUGGUUGAUUGGGC
RNAcentral lists this long non-coding RNA (210 nucleotides) under Zostera marina. RNAcentral's name for it is "long non-coding RNA (ZMAR_LNC001341)". Lineage: Eukaryota; Viridiplantae; Streptophyta; Magnoliopsida; Alismatales; Zosteraceae. The record is from RNAcentral.